GAUUUCAAGACAGAGCUUAAUGUUCUCUGAACUUCCUUGUUUGCUGAACGGCAGGUUGAAGCAGAAUUUGCCCGUCUUACAUCUGUUGACCUGAAAGGGUUCCUUUUUGCUGUGCUUGACCAUUAUGGAGAGGUUCGUGGAGCUGUACAAAAUCAAGAGCGGCAUAGGAGGGCUGACUAGGCUCAUAAAAUGCUUCAAUGAUGAUAGCCCUACACAAAGGAAGAGGAGAGAGGACCUCAUUUUCUAAAGGAAGAUCCCUCACACACUUUCAAGACUGUGAAGCCGACAGGUAUUGAAGACACGUUUUCUAAGAGGAUGAAAGUUGGCAUUGCGAUGGUGAAAGAAGAAGACAUCAUCGAUGUGUUGGUUGUCCUUGAGGCGGCAGUAAUCCUGUCUAAUCUGAGGGAUGUCUCAAGUGCCAUUUCCAUGCUGAUGGGCCUUCUUUUUGCCCUCAACAUAGACUAUCCAAAGGAACUUAAGGACAUCUUUGAAGUCAUUCAGAACAUCCUAAUGAACAUUGGUGGAAGGCAGUGCAUCUCACUAGUGCAUGGUCUAAGAAACAGACUCUUGCAGAAAGCCAUGCAGAACUGUAAUUGUAUGCUCACAGCAUACAGUUGCCUCAGUGUUAAGGACAGUUUUUAUUUUACUGUUUGUUUUUUUAUUCUUGCAAGUUCUCAUUCUCACUUUUGUAUGUCACUAAAUGACUGCACUUUAUAUUCCAGAUUAGACAAUUACUCAUUUGUUCAUGGUUUAAGAAACUUAUGUGAACAACAAUAUAAUGGUGGACUUUGCAGAUGCUUAUCUCAUGCAAGUCAGUAGUUUUUCCUUUGUUUUGCAAUUGAGCAGACUCAAACUGAUGUUUCUGAAAUAUCCAUAUUAUCAAAUGUUUCAGAAGCAUGCAGUCAUUUUCAGAGAUAUUGGUUCUGUGGAAUUUGUUGCAAUUGUAAACGAAGACAAAUACAAGAGUUUGAUGUCUUAGUUGUUAUAAACUGAUCUUUACUGUCACUUAUCAAAGGUUUUGUACUAUUUUAAUAUUUCAAGUUUUAUGCUAACAGGUAUGACUGAGCACAAUGAAGUUUAAAAAUUUUGCAAAUGUAAAGAAUAACUUUUCUAAAAUAGCAAGUGUCCCGUUGAUACAUUACAUUAAUGCAGACUUUAUGUUGUUACUUCACAAGAAUCACUACUGCUCCUAGAGUAUUGGUCAGAAUUUAAUCUUCACCCAAACUGGGCUCAAGACCAAGUUCAAAUUUAUUGUUUCACAGGGAGCAGCCUUUGAGUUUUGAUGGAUUGUGAGCCUGAUGAGCUACGUCACUGAUUUUUCUGUUUCUCAGAUGACUAAGAUGGCACAAUAAAUGGUGAAUGUUGG
This is a long non-coding RNA of Oreochromis aureus, 1366 nucleotides long. Lineage: Eukaryota; Metazoa; Chordata; Actinopteri; Cichliformes; Cichlidae. The record is from Ensembl.